CUGCUCCGGUGACCUGACCUGAUGCAUUAGCUUCUCCGUUGGCUUUUGUAGCUGCAUCCCAUGUCUGACAGGAAUCACUACUGGAGUGUCACAGAGGACAGAUAACCUUGUCCUUCCUACCAGCUCUAGUGGUGGCCUGAGCCUGCAGCAGUUUUCUGUGUAGAACCGCUCUCAGAGCCAUGUGUGAGUGUCUGCAAACGUGGAUUUUGUAGAGAGGAAUGGAAGUGACCUUAAUCAAAGUGGUGCCAGCACGAAGGCCGGACAAGAGCAAUAAUCGUGAGGAAGAGGCAGCUGCUUCUAGGGCCCAAUCGUGCUGGGGUUUCCUGUUUCGAGCAUGGUCUCUCAUCCAGAGAUGGCACCAAAUCCGUGUUCUUCCAACAGCCUUUGCAGUUAAUGGAGAAUCAAAGGCAGACUGAGGAAUAUGAGGGCCUUGUUUCAGCU
This is a long non-coding RNA of Nothoprocta perdicaria, 441 nucleotides long. RefSeq lists it as uncharacterized. The record is from RefSeq and is a predicted model, not a curated record. The transcript has 3 exons. Lineage: Eukaryota; Metazoa; Chordata; Aves; Tinamiformes; Tinamidae.